UAUUUGCAAGACAGAUGGACUGUAGAGACCAGAAAAUGCACACGUUUACGGUCCGUAUAAGGUUACAGGUUUGUCCAAAUUAAAGAUACCAUAAAUUCUAGUUAUGCCAGAGACGUUGGUCCUACAGAGCCAGAAGGGCUCUUCAUAUGAGAUAACAAGGGCUGAAGCCAGUUGGAUCUAAAGUGCCAAGUUAUUCGUUAUCAGGUGUUCCUGGACAGUUUUGAAACCGAGAUGUCUGAACGCCUCAAAUAAUCAGCAGUAAAGACAACAGAGACAAAUUCUCUAAUACCAAGGUCAAUGCAUUUGACUGCUGUCCAGCCCCGGGUUGCCACCAAAAACUUUAUGCAUCUUG
Alosa alosa (allis shad) is the source of this 352-nucleotide long non-coding RNA. RefSeq lists it as uncharacterized. The record is from RefSeq and is a predicted model, not a curated record. NCBI's taxonomy places the organism in Eukaryota, Metazoa, Chordata, Actinopteri, Clupeiformes, Clupeidae. The transcript has 3 exons.